ACGGGUGGCCGGGAGGGAUGUAACUGGCUGCUGAGCUGGCAGUUCUGUGUCGCUAGGCUUCGGCCGGGCAGCCGCCCCACAUAAGCUGCGAGGAGGAGCUUUACGACUUCCCGGUCUUCGGGGCCGGGCGCAGCAAGGGCCAGACUCUGCGCUAGCAGGCGCUGCCCGCCAACCGGCCGGCACCUGUCGCAGAAGGUGCAACCGAUCGCACUGUCGCGCAGAAGCUCCUCAAUGGCCAGCGCCAGCUGCAGCCCCGGCCGCCCACUCGCCUCACCUGAGCCUGGGAGUUUGAAAAAUCACAUUUGAGAAGAGGAUUGGAUCCUAGCCAUAACAUAAAUAUAAGGGUGGAACCAAAGUUUUAAUCAAAGAAGGUGAUGUUCAGUUGCUGCUUACGAUAGUUGAUACCCCAGGAUUUGGAGAUGCAGUGGAUAAUAGUAAUUGCUGGCAGCCUGUUAUCAAUUACAUUGAUAGUAAAUUUGAGGACUACCUAAAUGCAGAAUCACGAGUGAACAGAUGUCAGAUGCCUGGUAACAGGGUGCAGUGUUGUUUAUACUUCAUUGCUCCUUCAGGACAUGGACCAUUACAUAACUGAAGACUCCCACCUUCAGGCAGGAUUGGGUAGUACGUGUUUGUAACUACCUGGCAUUGCCUUUUGUUGAGGAAGGGUAGAUGUCUACCCAAAUGGAAUAUUGAGUAUCAGAGACUUCAAAUGAUAACUUUUGUUUGUUUGGAGAAAAUCUUGAGGACGUGAUCACUGUACAAAAGCAUGGCAAAAUGAGGAAACCACUGACAGGUGAAGAAUUUGCACAAUGGAAAACCACCUUGACCAUCUCAUGACUUUAUACAGGAAUCGGAGACAUCCAAGGCCAUUCCAUUUCUAGAUCACACUUAUCCCUCAAUCAAGUCAGUGACUGGAUCAUCUCCUAAGGUUUCACCUGCUUUGCAUCAGGUAGGUGAGAUGAAAGUGAUUUUAUGGGUAGCUUUCAGAAAAAUGUACUGCACUGAAGUGACAAAGUUCUGUCUUGCCUGUUCUCUCACAAAACAGCAAAUCAAUUAAAUAAUGAUGU
This 1067-nucleotide long non-coding RNA is filed under the name Pan troglodytes (chimpanzee). Its description in RNAcentral is "long non-coding RNA NONPTRT012675". The record is from RNAcentral. Lineage: Eukaryota; Metazoa; Chordata; Mammalia; Primates; Hominidae.